AAGUGUUAUAGCUCUUUUAGAAUUUGUCCAGCAGGCCUUUUGCUCUCUAUAGGAAGGCGCCCCC
Small nuclear RNA from Suncus etruscus (white-toothed pygmy shrew), 64 nucleotides. RefSeq annotates it as U7 small nuclear RNA. NCBI's taxonomy places the organism in Eukaryota, Metazoa, Chordata, Mammalia, Eulipotyphla, Soricidae. The record is from RefSeq and is a predicted model, not a curated record. The transcript has a single exon.